Molecule: long non-coding RNA, 466 nt
Organism: Homo sapiens (human)
Lineage: Eukaryota; Metazoa; Chordata; Mammalia; Primates; Hominidae
Product: long intergenic non-protein coding RNA 1766
Source: Ensembl
GGCGGGGCCUGCCUGGCCGCCAUGGUAAUCCCCUGUGGUUGGUGAUCAAGGAAGAGCAUAGUGCCAGACCUAGGUCCAGUCACUCCACGCUUGCAGAGUCCAAUUAACAAGAGCAAGUUCUGGUAGAAAGAAGGUGACUUUAUUCCAGAGCUCAGGUGUUUGAACUGAUGUCUGAUGAGGAUGAAUCCAGCGACUACCUCUGCCUGUCCAUCCUGGGCCUCUUCUGUUGCCUUCCCCUAGCCAUCCCAGCCGUGAUCUUUUCUUGCCUGACAAAGAACUACAAUAAAUCCAGUGACUAUGAGCUGGCAGCCAAGACCUCCAAACAAGCCUACUACUGGGCCAUCGCGAGCAUCACUGUGGGAAUCUUAGGUACCAUCUUGUACACCUACCUGAUAUACUUACUUAGAUUGUAAACUGCUUCCCAGCUCUUGAACAAACCACCAAAUAUACACCACAGUGCAAUUUA